CCUUGCGGAGGGAUCAUUACCGAGUUUACAACUCCCAAACCCCUGUGAACAUACCUAUACGUUGCCUCGGCGGAUCAGCCCGCGCCCCGUAAAACGGGACGGCCCGCCCGAGGACCCCUAAACUCUGUUUUUAGUGGAACUUCUGAGUAAAACAAACAAAUAAAUCAAAACUUUCAACAACGGAUCUCUUGGUUCUGGCAUCGAUGAAGAACGCAGCAAAAUGCGAUAAGUAAUGUGAAUUGCAGAAUUCAGUGAAUCAUCGAAUCUUUGAACGCACAUUGCGCCCGCCAGUAUUCUGGCGGGCAUGCCUGUUCGAGCGUCAUUUCAACCCUCAAGCUCAGCUUGGUGUUGGGACUCGCGGUAACCCGCGUUCCCCAAAUCGAUUGGCGGUCACGUCGAGCUUCCAUAGCGUAGUAAUCAUACACCUCGUUACUGGUAAUCGUCGCGGCCACGCCGUUAAACCCCAACUUCUGAAUGUGACCUCGAUCAUGCACGUAUGGG
RNAcentral lists this ribosomal RNA (501 nucleotides) under Fusarium culmorum. RNAcentral describes it as "eukaryotic LSU rRNA". The stretch from base 169 to 322 matches the Rfam family "5.8S ribosomal RNA". Lineage: Eukaryota; Fungi; Ascomycota; Sordariomycetes; Hypocreales; Nectriaceae. The record is from RNAcentral.